RNAcentral lists this ribosomal RNA (515 nucleotides) under uncultured bacterium. RNAcentral's name for it is "partial 16S ribosomal RNA". It matches the Rfam family "Bacterial small subunit ribosomal RNA", at positions 28 to 523 of the family's 1533-position model. The record is from RNAcentral.
GAUGAACGCUGGCGGCGUGCCUAAUACAUGCAAGUCGAGCGAAUGGAUUAAGAGCUUGCUCUGAUGAAGUUAGCGGCGGACGGGUGAGUAACACGUGGGUAACCUGCCCAUAAGACUGGGAUAACUCCGGGAAACCGGGGCUAAUACCGGAUAACAUUUUGAACCGCAUGGUUCGAAAUUGACAGGCGGCUUCGGCUGUCACUUAUGGAUGGACCCGCGUCGCAUUAGCUAGUUGGUGAGGUAACGGCUCACCAAGGCAGCGAUGCGUAGCCGACCUGAGAGGGUGAUCGGCCACACUGGGACUGAGACACGGCCCAGACUCCUACGGGAGGCAGCAGUAGGGAAUCUUCCGCAAUGGACGAAAGUCUGACGGAGCAACGCCGCAUGAGUGAUGAAGGCUUUCGGGUCGUAAAACUCUGUUGUUAGGGAAGAACAAGUGCUAGCUGAAUAAGCUGGCACCUUGACGGUACCUAACCAGAAAGCCACGGCUAACUACGUGCCAGCCGCCGCGGUAA